AUUGAACGCUGGCGGCAUGCCUUACACAUGCAAGUCGAACGGUAACGGGCCUUCGGGUGCCGACGAGUGGCGGACGGGUGAGUAAUACAUCGGAACGUGCCCGAUCGUGGGGGGUAACGAGGCGAAAGCUUUGCUAAUACCGCAUACGAUCUACGGAUGAAAGCAGGGGACCGCAAGGCCUUGCGCGGACGGAGCGGCCGAUGGCAGAUUAGGUAGUUGGUGGGAUAAAAGCUUACCAAGCCGACGAUUUGUAGCUGGUCUGAGAGGAUGAUCAGCCACACUGGGACUGAGACACGGCCCAGACUCCUACGGGAGGCAGCAGUGGGGAAUUUUGGACAAUGGGCGCAAGCCUGAUCCAGCCAUGCCGCGUGCAGGAUGAAGGCCUUCGGGUUGUAAACUGCUUUUGUACGGAACGAAAAGCCUUCUUUUAAUACAGGAGGGUCAUGACGGUACCGUAAGAAUAAGCACCGGCUAACUACGUG
RNAcentral lists this ribosomal RNA (482 nucleotides) under uncultured bacterium. RNAcentral describes it as "partial 16S ribosomal RNA". It matches the Rfam family "Bacterial small subunit ribosomal RNA", at positions 30 to 507 of the family's 1533-position model. The record is from RNAcentral.